Molecule: long non-coding RNA, 1334 nt
Organism: Asterias rubens (European starfish)
Lineage: Eukaryota; Metazoa; Echinodermata; Asteroidea; Forcipulatida; Asteriidae
Exons: 8
Source: RefSeq, a predicted model, not a curated record
CGUCAGAAGUUGAUAUGCUGUUGCUUACUCUCAAGUAAUUCAAGUUUUUACCGAAUUCUGAGUACUCAAAUUUCACAAAACUGUAAUGGUGAGUUGAUUAGUUGAUUGUGAUAAUGCUGGUUUGAAGUUAUAAGUUUCCUUUUUUAGAGACUUGAAGAUACGUGCGGGGUAACUUUGACCCUGCGAUGUCAAAUUCCAACUCCGAACUUUUGGAGCGGGUGCCCGGGAGCUGGCAGCGCUGCCGGGGUAGCUGCAGACACGCUGUCAGAUGAAGUCUAUCUCUCCAGAAGUAGAGGAAGUGAUGGGAAUACAGCCUAGCUUCAAGAUUCAAUGAUGACUGCACCACUACAGGAGACACACCAUUGUCAGAUGAAGUCUACCUCUCCAGAAUGAUGGGAAUGCAGCCCAGCUUCAAGAUGCAAUGAUGUCUUCUCCAUCGAUAGGUUUGCUGCAGUCAUAUGAAGUCUACCUCCUCUCAAGAAGUACAUGUACAUGUAGAUGCAUGAUGUGAAAUGCAGCCCACCUUUAAGAUUCGAUGAUGAAUCCAUCAACAGAAGACACUCUAUUGACAUAUGAAGUCUACCUCUCCAGAAGAAGAUACAUGAUGGGAAUGCAGCCCAGCUUCAAGAUGCAAUGAUGUCUUCUCCAUCAACAGGCUAGCUACAGACACACCAUUGUCAAAUGAAGUCUACCUCUCCAGAAGUCGAUGCUUGAUGUGAAUACAGCCCAGCUAAGGACUCCUCGAUGUCUUCCCCAUCAACAGUGAUGGUUGUCGUCUCCAUUAACAACCAAGGAGGGGUUUGAGACCUGCAGUUGAUGAGCUUCCUAACGAGUCUGGAAAAUAAACUACUCUCUCCUUGAUAAAAGGUGUGCCAUCUGCAGAUGAUAUCUACCUGACAAUUCCCGAGACCUGCAACUGUGCCCACUAAGUGUCAAAACAACAACAGAAUAGAGGUAUAUGUAAAAUCCCUGUGGGUGUUUUUCACUAACAUUAAAAAGUGGUCUGUUUUUGCAGCACUUGAACAAACAUAAUACCUCACAUGCCACAACAUUGAUGGGGAGUUUAUGCGGACACCAGUCUAACCCAUUUUGCGUGGUUCGUCCCUUCAGAUUGAUUACAGAUUUAAAAAAUAGGAAACAUGUUUAUGAUUAACAACACCCUUAAUUUAUAUAGAUAAUUCAGCACAUUCCUUAAAGCAUACCACCUAUAUGGUGAAUUAUAAAAGUUGCUUGUAUGGUACAGAUAUGGAUGUGUUGUGUAGUUGAAGAUCGAAAUGUAAAAUUAAACAUGAGUUUUGUGUAACACUAAUUAUGUAAUUUGUAAUGAAUAUUUU